GAGCUGUUUCCAUUAUUCAAAUUAUCUUUUAGAUUUAUUUUUUUUUCUACAAAUUAAAUACAAUUUUUAUGAAAUUAUUAUCAAUAUUUUUUAUUUUAAUGUAUAUUUAUUUUUAUUGUAAUAAUAAAUUUAGAUUGAAGAUAUAUGUAGACGUGGGGUCCUUUGUACCCCACUAAAACGGUGUCAGCACUUCUUUUAAAUAUUCCGACAAAAUAGGUUCUAAAUGAAUGCAAAUUCCCAGGCAAUUCGUUCCAAACAAAAGAAGUGACGAUGCAUCGUAGUCGAACAGUGCAAUUCCAAAUACACGCAACAUCUUCUAUUGCAGCC
RNAcentral lists this long non-coding RNA (327 nucleotides) under Elaeis guineensis (African oil palm). RNAcentral's name for it is "long non-coding RNA (EGUI_LNC000311)". The record is from RNAcentral. Lineage: Eukaryota; Viridiplantae; Streptophyta; Magnoliopsida; Arecales; Arecaceae.